RNAcentral lists this unclassified non-coding RNA (211 nucleotides) under Hevea brasiliensis (rubber tree). The record is from RNAcentral. Lineage: Eukaryota; Viridiplantae; Streptophyta; Magnoliopsida; Malpighiales; Euphorbiaceae.
GCUACAAAAUGGAUUCCUCAAGGCGGACCCUUCAGAGGAUAUCCGGUUGCUUAAUCUGUUUCAUUGUGCUUUGAUAUUUUCAUUGUUUGGAAUUUGGAUUCUAAAUUUUUCCAAUUCUAAUUAAGAAACCUAAACAAAUUUAAACUAGGAAAAUAAUAAUAAUCCUAAUAAUAGAAUCUAAUAGAAUAAUAAUAAUAAUAAUAGAAUUCCU